This 26-nucleotide non-coding RNA is filed under the name Homo sapiens (human). The record is from RNAcentral. Lineage: Eukaryota; Metazoa; Chordata; Mammalia; Primates; Hominidae.
GGAACAGUGGUCAGCCGGCAGCAUGG